UGUUAAAAAUUUAAUUCAUUCGUAUUGUUGAAAAUUAGUGUGGUCGACGAAAUAACCAAACAAUGGCACGUGACAUGUUACGUAUACCUCAUAUGGGCAUACAUAAACCAAUUUUUAAUAGUAAAAAUAGAUGAAAUUUUUAACA
Gossypium raimondii (Peruvian cotton) is the source of this 145-nucleotide non-coding RNA. The record is from Rfam. Lineage: Eukaryota; Viridiplantae; Streptophyta; Magnoliopsida; Malvales; Malvaceae.